This 52-nucleotide non-coding RNA is filed under the name unclassified sequences. The record is from Rfam.
CCCUGACAGUUGCAUUGGGCGACUGACUUAACCCUGACAGGAGAUUCUCAUG